Nasonia vitripennis (jewel wasp) is the source of this 918-nucleotide long non-coding RNA. RefSeq lists it as uncharacterized. The record is from RefSeq and is a predicted model, not a curated record. NCBI's taxonomy places the organism in Eukaryota, Metazoa, Arthropoda, Insecta, Hymenoptera, Pteromalidae. The transcript is spliced from 6 exons.
GUGCAGUGUGCGCACUUGUUGACUGCUGCGUUAGCUGCACGUGUAUUGUGCUUGUGCGCGCAUAUGUGUGUGUGUGUGUGUGUGCAGUGGGAACUUGUUGACUGCAAACUACUACAUUAGCUGCAUGUGUAUUCACGCGAGUGUGUGUCUAGAUUUGGCAUUAAGAUAAUUGAAAAGUCACCCGUAAAAGACAUGAGCUUUUCAAAAUUUUGUAAGCAGUCAUUUCACAUUGAUGUUGUCCAAGAAAAUUUAAUUGUUCGGUGCACAAUGUACGAUUCUGAUUGCGACAAACAUUAUGACAAUUUAUUUGUAGAUGAGUAUUAUGAUAUUGCUAAUAUCAUGAUAAGACCAGCCAAUAAACUAUAUAAUAAUUUAGGAGUUGCCUAUGAAUUGGCUGUGACGGAGGAAACUACGUUCACUAAAGUCAAUGAAUAAAUUGAUACAAAGACUUUAAGCAAAUAUACAUAUGCAAUUCAAUUCACAAAAAUGGAUGGGAAUAAUAACAUUUUCAAUUCACAAAAUUCAAUGAUGUUGAAAAUCUGGAUGUAAAAACAAACAUCAAUGUUAGAGCAAUCGUUAAAAGUAUUGGAAAUGUAGAUGAGCUUAAAUCUAAAACAGGUAAUUUAUUUAAAAAAUUGGAAAUAAGUUUGAUGGACACAACAUUAACAACUAUAAAUUUAGUAUUAUGGAGUGCGGAUACAAAAUUUGAGUAUGUUAAGUGGGCGAUGUCCUCGAAAUUAAAAAUUGCAGGAUUUAACGAUAUUUGAGUAAAACUACGUUAAAUAAAAACUGUACAACAAUCAUAAAGUUGGAUACGACUUCAGAAGUGUCAAAAAGGUUGAAAAAACUUUUGGAAGUAAAUUAAAGCUUAUACUUUUGAAUUGAUGUUGGCGUUAGCAUAUCUCAAGUAAUGUAACC